CACGUAGGGUGCGAGCGUUGUCCGGAAUUAUUGGGCGUAAAGAGCUCGUAGGCGGUGUGUCGCGUCGGCCGUGAAAACCUGCAGCUUAACUGUGGGCUUGCGGUCGAUACGGGCAUCACUGGAGUUCGGCAGGGGAGACUGGAAUUCCUGGUGUAGCGGUGAAAUGCGCAGAUAUCAGGAGGAACACCGAUGGCGAAGGCAGAUCUCUGGGCCGUAACUGACGCUGGAGGGAGCGAAAGCCGUGGGGAGCGAACAGG
Molecule: ribosomal RNA, 257 nt
Filed under: uncultured bacterium
Lineage: Bacteria
Description: partial 16S ribosomal RNA
Rfam family: Bacterial small subunit ribosomal RNA
Source: RNAcentral